Molecule: ribosomal RNA, 836 nt
Filed under: Ramularia vacciniicola
Lineage: Eukaryota; Fungi; Ascomycota; Dothideomycetes; Mycosphaerellales; Mycosphaerellaceae
Description: eukaryotic LSU rRNA
Rfam family: Eukaryotic large subunit ribosomal RNA
Source: RNAcentral
CAGGGAUUGCCCUAGUAACGGCGAGUGAAGCGGCAACAGCUCAAAUUUGAAAUCUGGCGCAAGCCCGAGUUGUAAUUUGUAGAGGAUGCUUCUAGGUAGCGACCGGUCUAAGUUCCUUGGAACAGGACGUCAUAGAGGGUGAGAAUCCCGUAUGUGACCGGCCCGCACCUUCUACGUAGCUCCUUCGAAGAGUCGAGUUGUUUGGGAAUGCAGCUCUAAAUGGGAGGUAAAUUUCUUCUAAAGCUAAAUACCGGCCAGAGACCGAUAGCGCACAAGUAGAGUGAUCGAAAGAUGAAAAGCACUUUGGAAAGAGAGUUAAAAAGCACGUGAAAUUGUUGAAAGGGAAGCGCUUACAACCAGACUUCUGGGCGGUGUUCCGCCGGUCUUUUGACCGGUCUACUCUCCGUCCCGAGGCCAACAUCAUCUGGGACCGCUGGAUAAGACCUUAGGAAUGUAGCUUCCCUCGGGAAGUGUUAUAGCCUCUGGUGAUGCAGCGCGUCUCGGGUGAGGUCCGCGCUUCGGCAAGGAUGUUGGCGUAAUGGUUGUCAGCGGCCCGUCUUGAAACACGGACCAAGGAGUCUAACAUCUAUGCGAGUGUUCGGGUGUCAAACCCCUACGCGUAAUGAAAGUGAACGGAGGUGGGAAGCGCAAGCUGCACCAUCGACCGAUCCUGAUGUCCUCGGAUGGAUUUGAGUAAGAGCAUAGCUGUUGGGACCCGAAAGAUGGUGAACUAUGCCUGAAUAGGGUGAAGCCAGAGGAAACUCUGGUGGAGGCUCGCAGCGGUUCUGACGUGCAAAUCGAUCGUCAAAUUUGGGUAUAGGGGCGAAAGACUAAUC